Molecule: non-coding RNA, 129 nt
Filed under: unclassified sequences
Description: Bacteriophage Diversity-Generating Retroelement RNA
Rfam family: Bacteriophage Diversity-Generating Retroelement RNA
Source: Rfam by way of RNAcentral
GCUCUGCACUUACCACUUGGCGGUGCAGGCAGAUCAUACAGAGUGGUCAGCUUGGUUGUCCUGCUUCGGCAAAUACACUUAGGGGUCUGGUAGAACGUAGAGUAGCAGAAAGCGAAAUACGGAGCCAGU